RNAcentral lists this long non-coding RNA (450 nucleotides) under Anas platyrhynchos platyrhynchos (common mallard). RNAcentral's name for it is "lncRNA (ENSAPLG00000027523.1)". The record is from RNAcentral. Lineage: Eukaryota; Metazoa; Chordata; Aves; Anseriformes; Anatidae.
AGGGCUCUCGGAGUCUCCCCUCGCUUCUUUCGCUUCCCCGGGCUCCCCGAGCCCCCUCAGCGGGCUGCCCUAGGCGGGUUGGGGCCGUCCUCCAUCGGGUUCCUGCCGCCUCACGCCGCCCGCCUCAGCCGCGCAGCUUCCGGCGCCUCCCCGCCGCCAUGUCGGGAGCCUGCGCGCUGCGGGCUGGGGGGGCGAGGGGGGCUGAGGCGUCUCCUCCUCCUCCUUCUUUCUCCUCCUCCUCCUCUUUUCCCUCGGUGGCGAAGGGCUCAGCUCGCUGAGGUGGCCGAGAGAGGGCUUCUCCUGGCCGGCCGUGGAGUUUGUUUUCUUCAGACCACCUCUACAUUUCCCACAAUGGCAAUACAUUCAUUCUGCCAUUUGGAGGAGCCUGUGCCACAGAAUAAUGAUGUGAAGAAAUCGAACUUCUUUGCAAGGAAGAGUCUUCAGUUGUGA